AACGAACGCUGGCGGCAUGCCUAAUACAUGCAAGUCGAACGAGACCUUCGGGGCUAGUGGCGCACGGGUGCGUAACGCGUGGGAACCUGCCCGUAGGUUCGGAAUAACUCCCCGAAAGGGGUGCUAAUACCGGAUAAUGUCUUCGGACCAAAGAUUUAUUGCCUUUGGAUGGGCCCGCGUUGGAUGAGAUAGUUGGUAGGGUAAAAGCCUACCAAGGGGACGAUCCAUAGCUGGUCUGAGAGGAUGAUCAGCCACACUGGGACUGGGACACGGCCCAGACUCCUACGAGAGGCAGCAGUGGGGAAUGUUGGACACUGGGCGAAUGCCUGAUCCAGCAAUGCCGCGUAAGUGAUGAAGGCCUUAAGGUUGUAAAGCUCUUUUACCCGGGAUGAUAAUGACGGUACCGGGCGAGUAAGCUCCGGCUAACUCCGUG
RNAcentral lists this ribosomal RNA (433 nucleotides) under uncultured bacterium. RNAcentral describes it as "partial 16S ribosomal RNA". It matches the Rfam family "Bacterial small subunit ribosomal RNA", at positions 29 to 507 of the family's 1533-position model. The record is from RNAcentral.